GCGACCCCAGGUCAGGCGGGGCUACCCGCUGAGUUUAAGCAUAUCAAUAAGC
Molecule: ribosomal RNA, 52 nt
Filed under: Patellifolia procumbens
Lineage: Eukaryota; Viridiplantae; Streptophyta; Magnoliopsida; Caryophyllales; Amaranthaceae
Also listed under: 1 other name
Description: partial 28S ribosomal RNA
Source: RNAcentral